Ostrinia nubilalis (European corn borer) is the source of this 437-nucleotide long non-coding RNA. RefSeq lists it as uncharacterized. Lineage: Eukaryota; Metazoa; Arthropoda; Insecta; Lepidoptera; Crambidae. The transcript has 2 exons. The record is from RefSeq and is a predicted model, not a curated record.
CACAUGUUCCUCUCAAACGAAAAUAAUUUUUUUUCCGUCUCGCGAGUGUCAGUGGCUACACGUGUUUCAGGAAAACAAUUAGUUUUGGUGUAAUUACUAGUGUAAUCUUUUACAGAAAACCAAUUUUAAGCUAAAUUAUUACUAAAACAAGGGUGGUGGUACAUAAGUUUAUUUAUUCUCGGUAUUUAAAUUUGCUUAAAUUGCAGCUACAAAAUUAUUUAUUUUUAUAACCACACUGUGUAAAAGCUGCGCACGUGACAUUGGCGGAAUAGUGUGCCCUCAGUGGCGAAAAAACGCAAGUUCAUCGCCAUAAACCAAAGAAGAAGAAGAAGAAGUUCCUCUCAAACCGUGGUUUUUCAAACUGAAGCUGGAUAAGGCAGGGACUAGUAGCCUCAUUCGUAUGCGACUGGGUCAUGUUUGCCUCCCCUUUCAUUUGG